Molecule: long non-coding RNA, 865 nt
Filed under: Sarcophilus harrisii (Tasmanian devil)
Lineage: Eukaryota; Metazoa; Chordata; Mammalia; Dasyuromorphia; Dasyuridae
Description: lncRNA (ENSSHAG00000022668.1)
Source: RNAcentral
AUGAAGAAAGGCAAGGGAUAGUGUCUGCUCUCAAGGAGUUCAUAGCCUAAUACAGGAGACGUUAUUCAGACAAUUAUGCACAAACAAGCUACAAACAGGAAAAACUGGAGAUGACCAAUAGAGGGAAGACAUUGGCAUGGAGGAGGAAUUCCUAUAGAAGCCGACAUCAUGAUGGGCAAACCUUAAUCCACCCAAUGAAGUCCUCCAAAGAGUCUGAAACUGCUGAAGCUUCCCCACUCUCCUUCCAAGCUGGCCCACGACCUUCUGCAAGAGAAGAUGAGACUGAAUGAGCUGGACCAGUACUGUCACUAGCUAUCAUAAAGGUCCCAAGGCUGUGCUCUACUUGAGGAUGAACAUGGGAGGAGUCAUCAGCAUGGUCCAGACUGGGGUGCCCUUUAGAGAGGUCUGUGUGGUCUGGAAAUAUGUAGGCACUGAGGAGGCCGUGUGAGCCUCCCCCCCACCAAGAGCACCUAAAAUGUGACGUCCUGGGGUUGGAAUGCCCCCAACUGGAGGUGAGAGAGAUCUGCCACCAAGGAUAGAAGAAAAGAAACUAGACUUUCAUCUGGAAGAAAGACGGAAAGACAUUGUGGGAAACCAAGGAGCUGAAAGCUGACUUGAAGACUCUUGCUUGGAGAGCCCCUCUCAAAGGAGGACCUGAGAAGGCAGGAGCUCAUUCAUCUUUCACUGACUCUACCCCAUCAUUCACACAAGGCAAGGCAUUCAUCUCUAUCUACAGGGAGAAUUCUGUACCAAUAGAUUUUAGGACAGGGGUUACAACUGUAAUACAUAAUACUGAUGUGUGCUUAUGUGAUUGACUCUAAUAAAUAGAUAAUAAAAAAUUAGCUCAUAAAUGUAUUUUUAAAAG